RNAcentral lists this transfer RNA (73 nucleotides) under Thitarodes sejilaensis. Its description in RNAcentral is "tRNA-Ile". Lineage: Eukaryota; Metazoa; Arthropoda; Insecta; Lepidoptera; Hepialidae. The record is from RNAcentral.
AAUUUUGAACCAUAUUAUUUAUAUAUUUUUUUUAAAAUGAAGAAUAAAUAAAGUACUUACUCUACCUUAAUUA